CGGCGCGUUCCGGCACACGUCGGGCGUGUCGACGGUACCGCGACGCUGCGUUCUUCCUCCGGGGAGAGCGCGCGUCCGCGACCGUGACCCAAACCAAACGAUCGAAGUGAGCUCGUGCUCGAUGGUUUUGCAUGGAAUCGUGGAACGGGACCCUGGCUCGCGUUUCGCACGCGUUCCGCGAGAGCCAGGGCGACGAUCAACGGGAGCGGUCGGAGGCGAGGGAACUGCCGGGCGAGGGGUAAAAUCUGAUGAGCCUGGCAAGACCACCGAAAGCGAAGGCACUCGCCGAGGCCGUUUCCGUCGAUAAAGAACCGAAGCCACCAUAGACAAUGGGAUUAGAUACCCCAGUAUCGGUGUGCCCCAAACUAUGCCGUCCGGCUGGACGUCGGCUAACAUUGUGGCCGGCGUUCGGUCCGAGGAAGCUGGAGCGAUUUGGCUUCUGGGAGAUUACGGCUGCAAAGCUGAAACUUAAAGGAAUUGACGGAAGGGCACCAUCAGGUCUGGAUUGUGCGGCUCAAUUGGAUUCGACGCCCGACACCCCACCAGGACAGGAGCGCCCGAUGAAGCACCGGCCGAAUACCUCUGCCGAUGGGCGUGCGGGUGGUGCAUGGCCGCCGUAGUUCGUGAGGUGACUUGUCUGGUUGGUUCCGACAACGAACGCAACCGCCGUGCCCCGCUACGACCCGAGGCCCACGACCGCGUUUCGGCGCGGUCUCCUCGGUUCGAUCCGGACAACUAACCCGCGAAUGGGUCUUCACCCAAAGUGGAGUAAGCUACGGCGAUGGCAGUCCGUAAUGCCCCAGAUGCUCUGGAUAGCACGCGCCAUACAAUGCUGCUCGAGCGCGACGCUGCCCCAGAGGGGAUCGGAUUGCGGGAAAAGCGGGCCCGGCGGGAUCAGAUGAACUGU
Molecule: ribosomal RNA, 907 nt
Filed under: Paramyxea sp.
Lineage: Eukaryota; Endomyxa; Ascetosporea
Description: bacterial SSU rRNA
Rfam family: Eukaryotic small subunit ribosomal RNA
Source: RNAcentral